Molecule: ribosomal RNA, 776 nt
Filed under: uncultured Neocallimastigales
Lineage: Eukaryota; Fungi; Neocallimastigomycota; Neocallimastigomycetes; Neocallimastigales
Description: partial large subunit ribosomal RNA
Rfam family: Eukaryotic large subunit ribosomal RNA
Source: RNAcentral
AGAGAGAGACAUGCGCGCAUAUCAAUAAGCGGAGGAAAAGAAACUAACUAGGAUUCCCCUAGUAACUGACGUAGUGAAGCGGGAAGAGCUCAAAUUUGAAAUCUUAAAGGGUUUCCCUUUACGAAUUGUAGUUUAAAGAAGUGUUUUCUGUUGAGAUUUUGGUAAAAGUUCUUUGGAAUAGGACAUCAUAGAGGGUGAGAAUCCCGUAUUUGACCUUUACUUUCAACUUUGUGAUACACUUUCAAAGAGUCGGAUUGUUUGGGAAUGCAGUCCAAAAUGGGUGGUAAAUUUCAUCUAAAGCUAAAUAUUGGCGAGAGACCGAUAGCGAACAAGUACCGUGAGGGAAAGAUGAAAAGAACUUUGAAAAGAGAGUUAAACAGUACGUGAAAUUGUCAAAAGGGAAGCGUUUGACACCAGUGUUGUUUUUCUAAAAAUCAAUUAAAGAACUGUUUAUGCUAAGCUGUUUGGACUUUAUCAGCUAUCUGUUUAGUUUUGAGCUUUUCUUUAAUGCACUUUUCAGUUAACAAGUCAACAUCAAUUUCUUUUGCUGUAAAAAAGCUUGAGGAAGGUGGCUUGAGAUUCGUCUUAAGUGUUUAUAGCCUCUUGCCUAUGCAGUCGGAGAGAUUGAGGUCUGCAGCGUAGAUCCUUCGGGGCUAAAUGCAUUUGUGCUAAGUUAUAGCAUUUUAUAGACAACUUGUUGACUAUGAUUUGUCUUGUAGCUUACUCGCUUAUGUUAUUUUACCUACGCUUAGGAUGUUGACACAUGAGAUAUACGC